RNAcentral lists this ribosomal RNA (686 nucleotides) under uncultured bacterium. Its description in RNAcentral is "bacterial SSU rRNA". It matches the Rfam family "Bacterial small subunit ribosomal RNA", at positions 32 to 715 of the family's 1533-position model. The record is from RNAcentral.
AACGCUAGCUACAGGCUUAACACAUGCAAGUCGAGGGGCAGCAGGGUAGCAAUACCGCUGACGACCGGCGCACGGGUGAGUAACACGUAUCCAACCUUCCCAUAACUCAGGGAUAGCCUUUCGAAAGAAAGAUUAAUACCUGAUAGUACUUAAGAAAGGCAUCUUUUUUAAGUUAAAGAUUUAUCGGUUAUGGAUGGGGAUGCGUUCCAUUAGAUAGUUGGUGAGGUAACGGCUCACCAAGUCUUCGAUGGAUAGGGGUUCUGAGAGGAAGGUCCCCCACAUUGGUACUGAGACACGGACCAAACUCCUACGGGAGGCAGCAGUGAGGAAUAUUGGUCAAUGGGCGAGAGCCUGAACCAGCCAAGUAGCGUGAAGGAUGAAGGUCCUAUGGAUUGUAAACUUCUUUUAUAGUAGAAUAAAGUGAUCCACGUGUGGAUUUUUGUAUGUAUACUAUGAAUAAGGAUCGGCUAACUCCGUGCCAGCAGCCGCGGUAAUACGGAGGAUCCGAGCGUUAUCCGGAUUUAUUGGGUUUAAAGGGAGCGUAGGCCGUCUGUUAAGCGUGUUGUGAAAUGUAGAUGCUCAACAUCUGAAUUGCAGCGCGAACUGGCAGACUUGAGUGUGCACAACGUAGGCGGAAUUCGUGGUGUAGCGGUGAAAUGCUUAGAUAUCACGAAGAACUCCGAUUG